Pseudomonadales bacterium RIFCSPLOWO2_12_59_9 is the source of this 119-nucleotide non-coding RNA. The record is from Rfam. Lineage: Bacteria; Pseudomonadati; Pseudomonadota; Gammaproteobacteria; Pseudomonadales.
GGUCACAUCUCAUUUAAAAAUACGGGGAGUAGUCCCUGGCCUGUUACCUAAAGGAGCCCAUCAUGGCACUUAGCGUUGAAGAUAAAGCCCAGAUCGUAACUGAAUACCAGCAAGCUGUU